GACGAACGCUGGCGGCGUGCCUAAUACAUGCAAGUAGAACGCUGAAGGCGGAGCUUGCUUCUCUGGAUGAGUUGCGAACGGGUGAGUAACGCGUAGGUAACCUGCCUGGUAGCGGGGUAUAACUAUUGGAAACGAUAGCUAAUACCGCAUAAGAGUAGAUGUUGCAUGACAUUUGCUUAAAAGUUGCAAUUGCAUCACUACCAGAUGGACCUGCGUUGUAUUAGCUAGUUGGUGAGGUAACGGCUCACCAAGGCAACGAUACUUAGACGACCGGAGAGGGGGAUCGGCGACACUGGGACUGAGACACGGCCCAGACUACUACGGGAGGCAGCAGUAGGGAAUGGUCGGCAAUGGACGGAAGUAUGACAGAGCAACGCCGCGUGAGUGAAGAAGGUGUUCGGAUCGGAAAGCUCUGUUGUAAGAGAAGAACGAGUGUGAGAGUGGAAAGUUCACACUGUGACGGUAUCUUACCAGAAAGGGACGGCUAACUACGUG
This 495-nucleotide ribosomal RNA is filed under the name uncultured bacterium. RNAcentral's name for it is "partial 16S ribosomal RNA". It matches the Rfam family "Bacterial small subunit ribosomal RNA", at positions 28 to 507 of the family's 1533-position model. The record is from RNAcentral.